Molecule: ribosomal RNA, 452 nt
Filed under: uncultured bacterium
Lineage: Bacteria
Description: bacterial SSU rRNA
Rfam family: Bacterial small subunit ribosomal RNA
Source: RNAcentral
UUUCCAGACUCCUACGGGAGGCAGCAGUGGGGAAUAUUGGGCAAUGGGCGCAAGCCUGACCCAGCAACGCCGCGUGAAGGAAGAAGGCUUUCGGGUUGUAAACUUCUUUUAUUGAGGACGAAACAAAUGACGGUACUCAAUGAAUAAGCCACGGCUAACUACGUGCCAGCAGCCGCGGUAAUACGUAGGUGGCAAGCGUUGUCCGGAUUUACUGGGUGUAAAGGGCGUGCAGCCGGGCUGACAAGUCAGAUGUGAAAUCCCGCGGCUCAACCGCGGAACUGCAUUUGAAACUGUCAGUCUUGAGUACCGGAGAGGUCAUCGGAAUUCCUUGUGUAGCGGUGAAAUGCGUAGAUAUAAGGAAGAACACCAGUGGCGAAGGCGGAUGACUGGACGGCAACUGACGGUGAGGCGCGAAAGCGUGGGGAGCAAACAGGAUUAGAUACCCUUGUAGG